UUUCGCAAUGCCCGAAAGGGUGACGAAGCGACGCCGCGUGCGGGAAGAAGGCCUUCGGGUUGUAAACCGCUGUCGGGAGUUAAGAAGUGCAAGGAUGUUAAUAGCAUCUUUGCUUGACUAAGGCUCCGGAGGAAGCCACGGCUAACUCUGUGCCAGCAGCCGCGGUAAUACAGAGGCGGCAAGCGUUGUUCGGAAUUAUUGGGCGUAAAGAGCACGUAGGCGGCUAUGCAAGUCGGUUGUGGAAGCCUUCCGCUCAACGGAAGAACGGCAUCCGAUACUGCAUGGCUCGAGUGCGGGAGGGGAGAGUGGAACUUCUGGUGGAGCGGUGAAAUGCGUAGAUAUCAGAAGGAACACCGGCGGCGAAAGCGACUCUCUGGCCCGUAACUGACGCUGAGUGUGCGAAAGCUAGGGGAGCAAACGGGAUUAGAUACCCCGGUAGUCCUAGCCGUAAACGAUGGGCACUAAGUAGAGGGUUUUA
This 478-nucleotide ribosomal RNA is filed under the name uncultured bacterium. RNAcentral describes it as "bacterial SSU rRNA". It matches the Rfam family "Bacterial small subunit ribosomal RNA", at positions 364 to 832 of the family's 1533-position model. The record is from RNAcentral.